CUGGAACUCAUUUAUGGCGCUUGGGUGCAUUGAGGGGGAAGAUAAUAUUGGACGGACCACUCAGUAAUUUACAGAUGAUCGCAGAAACACCGAUGAAUCGUUGUCGCUUUGCUUAGUGUUCUGCUUCGCACCUGCGUGUUUGACAGUUAGCCGCUAGCCAGACACCUAGCCAGGGAGAGGCUAUACCAAAGACGGUACAUCAUGAAGAUCAUCGGGCACGCUUGUUGGCGAUGUUGGCUAGCAAAGCUCAUACGUAGAAACACGUUAUCGGGUCGUCUCGCGCCGAACUGCGCAUGUGCAUGUCGUCAACUCAGAGGCACUCCUAUAUAAAGUUGUUUUUGACGAAAAUGAAAACGUGUCAGUUUGUGACUCUCACAGGGUUGGAGUAAUAACAAGUUCAACUACAUAAGACAUUGGCUCGAAUCUAGGUUGUUCCUUUAGAUUUCGAGAAAACGUAUAAGUAAGUAAGAUCCCGGAAGUCUCGCGAUGUUACGCCUUCUGUCUUUGGCUAUAUGGACACACCUGGUGCCCAAAUUGAUGACGUAUGUAAGUAUAUCGCGCAGCUGAGAGUCAAGUGUGGAGUUUUGCAAUUGUUUUAGAUGCAAUUCCCGCAGAUGCGGAUUUAUUAUUGAGGAACGUGUCAAGACCUGGGCCCUGUUUCAGAAAGCAGGUUUAACAAACUCUGAGUUUAAACCUGAACUCUGGGUUGACUAACUCUGAGCUGUCAAACUCUUGAGUUUUCGGUUUCAGAGGAGGUGAUAACAAUUAGUUCAAUCAACUCUGAGUUAAGUUAACCCUGAGUAAAGCACGUGCAUGAGGAGAUAAAAAGCCCUAAUCAAAGGAACGCAGAUAACAUGAUUCAUCAUGGCAACAGGAGAAAAGGGCUCCAACCUCCUACUUGCCCAGUGGAGUUAGAAAUAUUAACAUAUGCAGAAUAUGAGCAUAUAUUUAAGGAAAAAAGCAAUGCAGCAGCAAAAGAACGUGAGUUGGCGUGGCAGAAAAUUGUUGAUCGAGUCAAUGCCCACUGAAGAUGAAAUAUACUUCAAACAGGAGGAUGAAGACACCUUGUCAGCUGCCACAGAGAGGGAAAAUACAGAGAGGCCUAUUGACGUUUACACCUUAAAAAUUACAUCUAACAGUUGAUGGUGUUGUACCAUAAUAAAACUUGCACCUUUUUCUCUAACAGAGCAAUGCUGGAAAUUACACCUACACAGCACAAUUUACCUCAGUAAGAUUUUGUUCAGCAUUGGCCCAUUACUUACAAUGAAAUUAAGUAGACCUGGCACUGAAAUUCAAUGUCAUUUUUUUGUGUUCCUAUAGCUCCCUGUGAAACAGCUGUACUAUGUGUACUUAAAGAACCAAAUUGAAAAAUGUAAUUUAGAUUUUACUUGUUUGAACAUAAAAGUAUUACUGUACUGCAUUUGUACUUGCAGGAAAUAAAGACUUCAUAAAAAGAAAGGCAUAUUGUCUUUAUUUGACACUGGGGAGGUGAUGGGUCAAUUAGAAAUGAUGGUAGCAUAUUGUGUCUGACUGCUCUUCCAUCUUCUGCGUCAGCGGGGUGGUGUCAGGAACGUUCACUGGUUGAGGACAUUGUUCUUCUCUUGUGGGGAAUCACACAUGCCACAAUGUCACGUGCCCUUUCUGGGGUGACCCUGAGCCUACGAAGGCACUGGAACAGGGCCUUGAGCAUCCCAAAGGUCAUCUCUACCCUGGAUCGUGUCCUGCAGUGAGCCAAGUUAUAACGUUGCUGCGGGCUAUGCCCAGGAUCAGGGUAAGGGGUCAGCAAAUAGAGCUGGCAGGGGUACUCUCUGUCACCAAGCAGGUUACCAUUGAACUCUCCUAUGAUAAUACGAGGCUACAGUUUAAAUUUUCA
RNAcentral lists this long non-coding RNA (1873 nucleotides) under Salmo salar (Atlantic salmon). Its description in RNAcentral is "lncRNA (ENSSSAG00000113415.1)". Lineage: Eukaryota; Metazoa; Chordata; Actinopteri; Salmoniformes; Salmonidae. The record is from RNAcentral.